ACCACCUAUAUAACAAUGGCCAAAAGGCUUGCUAAUUGCAAAGUAUCCUUCAAGAACUAAAUACACCAAUUUUUAUAGUACCAGUCAUAGUUCUAAUCAAUUAUGAGAGCAAUGGCAGCCAAAUCCUCCCAAGAGUCUCUACUUGUGGUUGCAUUUGUUAUCUUUGCAAUCUUGGUUUCAUCAACCAUAACAUCUCAUGCAGCUGGAAGCACUGGAUUAACUCAUCGAGAAAUUAUGCAGAAGCCGAGUUGUCCUCCAUGUAUAUGUUGCCAUAAAGAACUGCCGCCACCGGAUUGUUGCUACUGCGCCUGUUAUGUUACUGAAUCCGGAAAUGAAGCUCCAUGAAAAUUGCACUCAGAGCCCUUCAAUUUCGACAGAAUUUUAUCCUACAGUAGCAAUGAUAUAAUGAGCAAAUUAUGGCUACUAUUUCCAUGGUUUCAUUUUCACUUGUUAUAAGUAAUGAUUAUGUCCAAUUUUUUUUUUUUGAAAUGAUGUAUAAUAAGCUGUCGAUGAUACCACACUCAAAAUUACUCUUGUUGUUACACAAUAAAUUUUUUAGUCUAUUGUUAUGUCCGUUAAGAUAUGAA
Coffea arabica (coffee) is the source of this 587-nucleotide long non-coding RNA. RefSeq lists it as uncharacterized. The record is from RefSeq and is a predicted model, not a curated record. NCBI's taxonomy places the organism in Eukaryota, Viridiplantae, Streptophyta, Magnoliopsida, Gentianales, Rubiaceae.